AAUGAGUCACUGGCUCAUCCAGUUAAGAUCAUCACCCACUUUCCUAACAAAACUUCUCUUCAAAGAAGGACUCGCUCAUCCAUCAGGUGGACCUCCACAGGAACAAAUCAUAUCCAUGUCAGGCGGCACCAAACCUAAAUCUGCUUCUGCCUCAGCAGACAGGACAUGAUGACACAGAAACAAGAGAGGGAAGCUGAAUCCCAAGGCAUUGUGAAGGGUGAGGGUGGGUAACAACAGAUAACUCACCACCAACCUCUUCCUAACCGCACAGAGCUUCAGCAUCACACACGAUCCUUGAGCCAUGACACAACUCUAUUUAGAAAAACUCCAAUAAUGGAAAUUAGAUUUCCAGGGCCAUGGGAGAAAUUGGUUUCAGAGUCAGAAAUUGAACUGAAUUAUAGAAAUAGGAUACUUAUUUUACUGUGAAUGAGCUAAAAUUUAUAUUUGCUACAAAUAUACAUCGUUUUAUUUUUUCUUUCUAGUUUGUUUGCUCAAGGAUUGAUUGAUUGGAUCUCAAGUAUAUACAUACAUAUGUAUAUAUAUAUUUUGUAUCAUCUAGAUUUUUGUACAAUAAAUUCCCUUAUGGAGAAAUACUGGGUCAAAAUAUAUAAGCAUUUUUAGAUCUCAUUUCAUAGUUCCAGAUUGCUUUCUACAAGAAUUAAUUUAAUUUACCUUGAUACUAAGAAUGAUUGGAUGGACUGGUUUAAACAUAUGUUUAUUAACUUUAGUUACUAGUAUUUAAAAGAAAAUAUUGCUAAUUGAGUAGUGGAAAAUGUUACUUCAUUUCAACAAAGUUACUAGAAAGUUUGAAUCUUAUGCCAUGCCUUUAUCUAUGAAGUGAAUUUCUUAUGUGUAUUGAGUUUUAGUUGGCAACAAUUAACUUUGAAAAAAUAAAUUGCUUUUUACAGCUUGC
This 913-nucleotide long non-coding RNA is filed under the name Homo sapiens (human). RNAcentral describes it as "HSALNT0292310". The record is from RNAcentral. Lineage: Eukaryota; Metazoa; Chordata; Mammalia; Primates; Hominidae.